ACCCUGAUUUAUGGGUAGCAGAGUAAGUUUUGAUGGAAGAAGCUGGGCAAACCAAGGCAGUUUUGCUUGUCACUGUGUGUUUUGUAAAGUGAGCUGAGACUUGCACUUUUUGUUUUAAAGUCAAUCCUUUGAAUGUAUUUACAAAAUGAAAUUCAUGGGUGAAACGCAGUGGGAGAAGAUAUGAGAGGUUUUGUGCUAAGGCUCAUGUUGUCACACAUGUAAAUAAUGAAAAUAUUGUUGUAUAUCACCAGGUCCUUUUAAAUGAAUUUGGUCAUUGUGUUCUUACGAAGCACAAAUGCCUUGUGCUUCAUAAACUGCCCAUCUGUUUCUUCCAUUUCAGCCCACCCUGUCCUCCCCCUCCAACCCAAAGGAAAGUGACAAAGUUCUGGUCCAUCAGCUUGGCCACUUUCAAACUAGGCCCAUUUAUAGCCACAGUAGAGUGUGGCUCUUAAACCACUUUCCAAGCCUUGAUCACCCCAUCCACCCAACCACCUUCCCCUGACAAGUCUGUACAAUAAAUAAUUCAAGGUGUAUUUAAAAUAUUAGUCAC
This 550-nucleotide long non-coding RNA is filed under the name Rattus norvegicus (Norway rat). RNAcentral's name for it is "long non-coding RNA NONRATT029345". Lineage: Eukaryota; Metazoa; Chordata; Mammalia; Rodentia; Muridae. The record is from RNAcentral.